Molecule: ribosomal RNA, 217 nt
Filed under: uncultured bacterium
Lineage: Bacteria
Description: partial 16S ribosomal RNA
Rfam family: Bacterial small subunit ribosomal RNA
Source: RNAcentral
ACGCUCGACACCUACGGGAGCAGCAGUGAGGAAUAUUGGUCAAUGGGCGCUAGCCUGAACCAGCCAAGUAGCGUGAAGGAUGAAGGCUCUAUGGGUCGUAAACUUCCUUUAUAUAAGAAUAAAGUGCAGUAUGUAUACUGUUUUGUAUGUAUUAUAUGAAUAAGGAUCGGCUAACUCCGUGCCAGCAGCCGCGGUAAUCUGAGCGGGCUGGCAAGGC